Oncorhynchus tshawytscha (Chinook salmon) is the source of this 640-nucleotide long non-coding RNA. Lineage: Eukaryota; Metazoa; Chordata; Actinopteri; Salmoniformes; Salmonidae. The record is from Ensembl.
UUGACAGGGAGCUCUGGGGCAGAGGAAGGAAGGGAGGAAGGAAAGUAGGAAGAACGGAAAAGCCUCUAUCAACCUUUGAUACAGUUUGGAAAUCAACUUUGGAGGUUUGUCAGACUGGCUUAAAAUAGCAUCUGGCUUGUCCAGUGUUUGCUGCGCAGAGAGAAUACGGUGUUGUAUCUGCAAAAAUUCACCUCAGCUCCAUCACAGACUGGUCUUCUCUGGCUGCCUGACCCUGUUGAGACCCUUGUCACCAUCUGAUCCUUCUAAGGUUAUGGAAGGGAAAUUUGGUUUUAUCUCGAUUACCGGGAUGAAAAUAUCAUGGUUGUGCAGAGAGUGUGAAGAGCAACGCCAGUUUCAGGAGAGGAGAUUAAACAUUGAUUAUGUAUGCAUAAUGAAGUCACUCUUGUCUGGCCUGGCCUGGCCUGGGCUGGAACAACUGUUUUCCUUUACUUAGCAGAGAGAGAGAGAAGAUAGGGAAGAUAGAGAGAGAGGGAGACAGAGAGAGAGGAGGGAGACAGAGAGCACAGAGAGAGAUAAGAGCAGAGAGAGAGAGAGAGAGAGAGAGAGAGAGAGAGAAAACACAGGGAGCGAGCAGAGAUUAGUUGAAAGGACCAGAGGCAAACACAAGAGGCUAGCGGAG